GAUGAAGAACGCAGCGAAAUGCGAUACGUAAUGUGAAUUGCAGAAUUCAGUGAAUCAUCGAGUCUUUGAACGCACAUUGCGCCCUCUGGUAUUCCGGAGGGCAUGCCUGUCCGAGCGUCAUUGCUGCCCUCAAGCACGGCUUGUGUGUUGGGCUCCGUCCCCCGAUCCCGGGGGACGGGCCCGAAAGGCAGCGGCGGCACCGCGUCCGGUCCUCGAGCGUAUGGGGCUUUGUCACCCGCUCUGUAGGCCCGGCCGGCGCUUGCCGAUCAACCAAACUUUUUUCCAGGUUGACCUCGGAUCAGGUAGGGAUACCCGCUGAACUUAAGCAUAUCAAUAAGCGGAGGA
RNAcentral lists this unclassified non-coding RNA (345 nucleotides) under soil metagenome. Its description in RNAcentral is "partial contains 5.8S ribosomal RNA, internal transcribed spacer 2, and large subunit ribosomal RNA". The stretch from base 1 to 120 matches the Rfam family "5.8S ribosomal RNA", at positions 35 to 154 of the family's 154-position model. The record is from RNAcentral.